This 19-nucleotide small nuclear RNA is filed under the name Arabidopsis thaliana (thale cress). Its description in RNAcentral is "snRNA_01232". The record is from RNAcentral. Lineage: Eukaryota; Viridiplantae; Streptophyta; Magnoliopsida; Brassicales; Brassicaceae.
UCCCCAAAUGUAGACAAAG